This 468-nucleotide ribosomal RNA is filed under the name uncultured bacterium. Its description in RNAcentral is "partial 16S ribosomal RNA". It matches the Rfam family "Bacterial small subunit ribosomal RNA", at positions 28 to 507 of the family's 1533-position model. The record is from RNAcentral.
GACGAACGCUGGCGGCGUGCUUAACACAUGCAAGUCGAACGGAAAGGCCCUGCUUUUGUGGGGUGCUCGAGUGGCGAACGGGUGAGUAACACGUGAGUAACCUGCCCUUGACUUUGGGAUAACUUCAGGAAACUGGGGCUAAUACCGGAUAGGAGCUCCUGCUGCAUGGUGGGGGUUGGAAAGUUUCGGCGGUUGGGGAUGGACUCGCGGCUUAUCAGCUUGUUGGUGGGGUAGUGGCUUACCAAGGCUUUGACGGGUAGCCGGCCUGAGAGGGUGACCGGCCACAGUGGGACUGGGAUACGGCCCAGACUCCUACGGGAGGCAGCAGUGGGGAAUAUUGCACAAUGGGCGGAAGCCUGAUGCAGCAACGCCGCGUGCGGGAUGACGGCCUUCGGGUUGUAAACCGCUUUCGCCUGUGACGAAGCGUGAGUGACGGUAAUGGGUAAAGAAGCACCGGCUAACUACGUG